This 72-nucleotide transfer RNA is filed under the name Stegodyphus mimosarum. It matches the Rfam family "tRNA". Rfam says of the family: Transfer RNA (tRNA) molecules are approximately 80 nucleotides in length. The record is from Rfam by way of RNAcentral. Lineage: Eukaryota; Metazoa; Arthropoda; Arachnida; Araneae; Eresidae.
GCCUUCAUGGUGUAAUGGUCAGCACGCUCGGCACGUAUUCGAGAGGUGCGAGUUCGAGUCCCGACGAGCGCA